AAGUAGUAGGGUGAUGUCAACAGUGAUUAACUUGACCCUACAAGGCUGACAACCAGCGAGAUUAAAGGUCCACACCAUAGAAGGAAGUGAGACAGCUCGUUUCCUACUGUAUGCUGCCUACUACACUUAGAAAUACCAUUUUGGUGUACAUCCUAAUGGUCAUGUUACGAGCUCUGCUACAUGUUCCCACGAACACAGUGCCACUCUACGUAUCUCCCCACUACUGAUGAAUGGGCUGAGACAUGCUGAAACCAGGAACGACAGUCCUUUUAUGAGAUGAAUAAGACUUCAGAGAAUUAUGAAGUUGAAACCACAACGUGGAAGACACCUGGGGUUGACAAACGAGUCAUUGGAGACGCGCUUCCUAGGAGAGCUGUGUGACCAGGAACACCUAGAGUAGUGUAUUUGCUUUGUUAAAGAGUGACUUGUAUGAGAGAGAAAUCUAUUUUCCAUAAAAAUAAAAAAAGAAUGAC
Mus musculus (house mouse) is the source of this 473-nucleotide long non-coding RNA. RefSeq annotates it as RIKEN cDNA 2310010J17 gene. The transcript is spliced from 4 exons. Lineage: Eukaryota; Metazoa; Chordata; Mammalia; Rodentia; Muridae. The record is from RefSeq and is marked validated.